AGCGAACGCUGGCGGCAGGCCUAACACAUGCAAGUCGAACGAACUCUUCGGAGUUAGUGGCGGACGGGUGAGUAACACGUGGGAACGUGCCUUUAGGUUCGGAAUAACUCAGGGAAACUUGUGCUAAUACCGAAUGUGCCCUUCGGGGGAAAGAUUUAUCGCCUUUAGAGCGGCCCGCGUCUGAUUAGCUAGUUGGUGAGGUAAAGGCUCACCAAGGCGACGAUCAGUAGCUGGUCUGAGAGGAUGAUCAGCCACAUUGGGACUGAGACACGGCCCAAACUCCUACGGGAGGCAGCAGUGGGGAAUCUUGCGCAAUGGGCGAAAGCCUGACGCAGCCAUGCCGCGUGAAUGAUGAAGGUCUUAGGAUUGUAAAAUUCUUUCACCGGGGACGAUAAUGACGGGACCCGGAGAAGAAGCCCCGGCUAACUGCGU
Molecule: ribosomal RNA, 432 nt
Filed under: uncultured bacterium
Lineage: Bacteria
Description: partial 16S ribosomal RNA
Rfam family: Bacterial small subunit ribosomal RNA
Source: RNAcentral